GCGAGACCCACGUCCACCAGUUGCCAGCAUACCCUCCCGGGGUGGAUGGGUACACUGUGGAGACCGCCGCUGCUAAAGCGGAGGAAGGGAGUGGGCAACGGUAGGUCAGUAUGCCCCGAAUCUCCCGGGCUACACGCGGGCUACAAUGGUUGGUACAAUGGGCAUCUACCCCGAAAGGGGAAGGAAAUCUCUUAAAGCCAAUCGUAGUUCGGAUUGAGGGCUGCAACUCGCCCUCAUGAAGCUGGAAUCCGUAGUAAUCGCGUUUCAACAGAACGCGGUGAAUACGUCCCUGCUCCUU
RNAcentral lists this ribosomal RNA (298 nucleotides) under uncultured Methanosaeta sp. RNAcentral describes it as "partial 16S ribosomal RNA". It matches the Rfam family "Archaeal small subunit ribosomal RNA", at positions 1045 to 1338 of the family's 1478-position model. Lineage: Archaea; Methanobacteriati; Methanobacteriota; Methanomicrobia; Methanotrichales; Methanotrichaceae. The record is from RNAcentral.